Molecule: unclassified non-coding RNA, 261 nt
Filed under: soil metagenome
Description: partial internal transcribed spacer 1
Source: RNAcentral
AUGGAAUAAACCUGGUGGACUGUCGCUGGCUCUCUUGAGAGCAUGUGCACGUCUGUCAUCUUUAUCUUUCCACCUGUGCACCUUUUGUAGACCUGGAUGCUUAAUAUAUCAAUCUGAGGUCAACUCAGGCGUGAGGACUGUCGGCGUCGCAAGAUAUCGGCUUUCCUUGUAGCAUCCAGGGACUAUGUUUUUCAUACACACUUUAAAAAUCUAAUAGAAUGUCGUUUUAAAGGGUCUUUGUACCUAUAUAAAACAAAUAUA